GAGUUUGAUCUUGGCUCAGAGUGAACGCUGGCGGCAGGCCUAACACAUGCAAGUCGAGCGGCAGCGCGGGGGCAACCCUGGCGGCGAGCGGCGGACGGGUGAGGAAUGCAUCGGAAUCUACCUCGUUGUGGGGGAUAACCUCAGGAAACCGGGACUAAUACCGCAUACGACCUACGGGUGAAAGUGGGGGACCGCAAGGCCUCGCGCGAUGAGAUGAGCCGAUGCCGGAUUAGCUAGUUGGCGGGGUAAAGGCCCACCAAGGCGACGAUCCGUAGCUGGUCUGAGAGGAUGAUCAGCCACACUGGAACUGAGACACGGUCCAGACUCCUACGGGAGGCAGCAGUGGGGAAUAUUGGACAAUGGGCGCAAGCCUGAUCCAGCCAUGCCGCGUGUGUGAAGAAGGCC
RNAcentral lists this ribosomal RNA (405 nucleotides) under uncultured Gammaproteobacteria bacterium. RNAcentral's name for it is "bacterial SSU rRNA". It matches the Rfam family "Bacterial small subunit ribosomal RNA", at positions 9 to 416 of the family's 1533-position model. The record is from RNAcentral. Lineage: Bacteria; Pseudomonadati; Pseudomonadota; Gammaproteobacteria.